GGAGUUGUGGCUUAGUGGUAGAGCGCUUGCCUAGCAUGCACGAGGCCCUGGGUUCAAUCCCCAGCACCA
RNAcentral lists this transfer RNA (69 nucleotides) under Marmota monax (woodchuck). It matches the Rfam family "tRNA". From Rfam's summary of the family: Transfer RNA (tRNA) molecules are approximately 80 nucleotides in length. Their secondary structure includes four short double-helical elements and three loops (D, anti-codon, and T loops). Further hydrogen bonds mediate the characteristic L-shaped molecular structure. tRNAs have two regions of fundamental functional importance: the anti-codon, which is responsible for specific mRNA codon recognition, and the 3' end, to which the tRNAs corresponding amino acid is attached (by aminoacyl-tRNA synthetases). tRNAs cope with the degeneracy of the genetic code in two manners: having more than one tRNA (with a specific anti-codon) for a particular amino acid; and 'wobble' base-pairing, i.e. permitting non-standard base-pairing at the 3rd anti-codon position. Lineage: Eukaryota; Metazoa; Chordata; Mammalia; Rodentia; Sciuridae. The record is from Rfam by way of RNAcentral.